GCCUCCAUAGCUCAGCGGUUAGAGCACUGGUCUUGUAAACCAGGGGUCGGGAGUUCGAUUCUCCCUGGGGGCU
This 73-nucleotide transfer RNA is filed under the name Schistocerca americana (American grasshopper). Its description in RNAcentral is "tRNA-Thr". It matches the Rfam family "tRNA". Rfam says of the family: Transfer RNA (tRNA) molecules are approximately 80 nucleotides in length. Their secondary structure includes four short double-helical elements and three loops (D, anti-codon, and T loops). Further hydrogen bonds mediate the characteristic L-shaped molecular structure. tRNAs have two regions of fundamental functional importance: the anti-codon, which is responsible for specific mRNA codon recognition, and the 3' end, to which the tRNAs corresponding amino acid is attached (by aminoacyl-tRNA synthetases). tRNAs cope with the degeneracy of the genetic code in two manners: having more than one tRNA (with a specific anti-codon) for a particular amino acid; and 'wobble' base-pairing, i.e. permitting non-standard base-pairing at the 3rd anti-codon position. Lineage: Eukaryota; Metazoa; Arthropoda; Insecta; Orthoptera; Acrididae. RNAcentral also lists the same sequence under 5 other names. The record is from RNAcentral.